RNAcentral lists this small RNA (114 nucleotides) under Mixta calida. The record is from RNAcentral. Lineage: Bacteria; Pseudomonadati; Pseudomonadota; Gammaproteobacteria; Enterobacterales; Erwiniaceae.
CAGCCUGAACACCAUCAUUAUUACUACCACCAUUACCACAGGUAACGGUGCGGGCUGACGCAUACAGGAAAAAAGAGAAAAAGCCCGCACCUGACAAGGUGCGGGCUUUUUUUU